AACCGCGAUGAAUCAGAUCCCA
RNAcentral lists this non-coding RNA (22 nucleotides) under Arabidopsis thaliana (thale cress). Lineage: Eukaryota; Viridiplantae; Streptophyta; Magnoliopsida; Brassicales; Brassicaceae. The record is from RNAcentral.